AUUGAACGCUAGCGGGAUGCCUUACACAUGCAAGUAGAACGGAGUGGCGAACGGGUGAGUAAUGUAUCGGAACGUGCCCAGUAGAGGGGGGUAACUACGCGAAAGCGUAGCUAAUCCCGCAUACGAUUGGAGAGGCGGAUAUCGGAUUAGCUAGUUGGUGGGGUAACGGCUCACCAAGGCGACUAACCGUAGCUGGUUUGGGGGGACGACCAGCCACACUGGGACUGAGACACGGCCCCGACUCCUACGUGAGGCAGCAGUGGGGAAUUUUGGACAAUGGGGGAAACCCUGAUCCAGCCAUCCCGCGUGUGCGAUGAAGGCCUUCGGGUUGUAAAGCACUUUUGGCAGGAAAGCGGUACCUGCAGAAUAAGCACCGGCUAACUACGUGCCAGCAGCCGCGGUAAUUC
RNAcentral lists this ribosomal RNA (407 nucleotides) under uncultured bacterium. RNAcentral's name for it is "partial 16S ribosomal RNA". It matches the Rfam family "Bacterial small subunit ribosomal RNA", at positions 30 to 526 of the family's 1533-position model. The record is from RNAcentral.